UACGUAGGGUGCGAGCGUUGUCCGGAAUUACUGGGCGUAAAGAGCUCGUAGGUGGUUUGUCGCGUUGUUCGUGAAAACCUGAGGCUUAACCUUGGGCGUGCGGGCGAUACGGGCAGACUGGAGUACUGCAGGGGAGACUGGAAUUCCUGGUGUAGCGGUGGAAUGCGCAGAUAUCAGAAGGAACACCGGUGGCGAAGGCGGGUCUCUGGGCAGUAACUGACGCUGAGGCGCGAAGGCGUGGGGAGCGAACGGG
RNAcentral lists this ribosomal RNA (253 nucleotides) under uncultured bacterium. RNAcentral describes it as "partial 16S ribosomal RNA". It matches the Rfam family "Bacterial small subunit ribosomal RNA", at positions 524 to 776 of the family's 1533-position model. The record is from RNAcentral.